UGCAAGUCGAGGGGUAUGGGCAGCAAUGCCCAGAGACCGGCAAACGGGUGCGGAACACGUACAGAACCCUCCCUCCAGCGGGGCAUAGCCCUUGGAAACGAGGAUUAAUACCCCAUGACAUAACGGUGCGGCAUCGCACUGUUAUUAAAGGUUCACCACUGGAGGAUGGCUGUGCGGCCGAUUAGGUAGUUGGCGGGGUAAAGGCCCACCAAGCCUUCGAUCGGUAACUGGUGUGAGAGCACGACCAGUCACACGGGCACUGAGACACGGGCCCGACUCCUACGGGAGGCAGCAGUGGGGAAUUUUGGACAAUGGGCGCAAGCCUGAUCCAGCCAUGCCGCGUGAGUGAAGAAGGCCUUCGGGUUGUAGAGCUCUUUCGGCAGGAACGAAAUGGUUCGUGCUAAUACCACGGAUUGAUGACGGUACCUGAAGAAGAAGCACCGGCUAACUACGUGCCAGCAGCCGCGGUAAUACGUAGGGUGCAGGCGUUAAUCGGAAUUACUGGGCGUAAAGCGUGCGCAGGCGGUUUCUUAAGUCAGAUGUGAAAGCCCCGGGCUUAACCUGGGAACUGCGUUUGAAACUGGGAGGCUAGAGUGUGGCAGAGGGGGGUGGAAUUCCACGUGUAGCAGUGAAAUGCGUAGAUAUGUGGAGGAACACCGAUGGCGAAGGCAACCCCCUGGGUCAACACUGACGCUCAUGCACGAAAGCGUGGGGAGCAAACAGGAUUAGAUACCCUGGUAGUCCACGCCCUAAACUAUGUCAACUGGUUGUCGGGGGAUUAAUUCCCUUGGUAACGAAGCUAACGCGUGAAGUUGACCGCCUGGGGAGUACGGCCGCAAGGUUAAAACUCAAAGGAAUUGACGGGGACCCGCACAAGCGGUGGAUUAUGUGGAUUAAUUCGAUGCAACGCGAAAACUCACCUACCCUUGACU
RNAcentral lists this ribosomal RNA (932 nucleotides) under uncultured beta proteobacterium. RNAcentral's name for it is "bacterial SSU rRNA". It matches the Rfam family "Bacterial small subunit ribosomal RNA", at positions 56 to 986 of the family's 1533-position model. The record is from RNAcentral. Lineage: Bacteria; Pseudomonadati; Pseudomonadota; Betaproteobacteria.